GGUGAACGCUGGCGGCGUGCCUAAUACAUGCAAGUCGAGCGAACAGACGAGGAGCUUGCUCCUCUGACGUUAGCGGCGGACGGGUGAGUAACACGUGGAUAACCUACCUAUAAGACUGGGAUAACUUCGGGAAACCGGAGCUAAUACCGGAUAAUAUAUUGAACCGCAUGGUUCAAUAGUGAAAGACGGUUUUGCUGUCACUUAUAGAUGGAUCCGCGCCGCAUUAGCUAGUUGGUAAGGUAACGGCUUACCAAGGCAACGAUGCGUAGCCGACCUGAGAGGGUGAUCGGCCACACUGGAACUGAGACACGGUCCAGACUCCUACGGGAGGCAGCAGUAGGGAAUCUUCCGCAAUGGGCGAAAGCUUGACGGAGCAACGCCGCGUGAGUGAUGAAGGUCUUCGGAUCGUAAAACUCUGUUAUUAGGGAAGAACAAAUGUGUAAGUAACGAUGCACGUCUUGACGGUACCUAAGCAGAAAGCCACGGCUAACUACGU
This 496-nucleotide ribosomal RNA is filed under the name uncultured bacterium. RNAcentral's name for it is "partial 16S ribosomal RNA". It matches the Rfam family "Bacterial small subunit ribosomal RNA", at positions 28 to 506 of the family's 1533-position model. The record is from RNAcentral.